This 241-nucleotide long non-coding RNA is filed under the name Homo sapiens (human). Its description in RNAcentral is "HSALNT0118537". The record is from RNAcentral. Lineage: Eukaryota; Metazoa; Chordata; Mammalia; Primates; Hominidae.
GAGUUUUGCGGAAUGAUACGUGGUGUGGCGUCGGGGUUGUGAUACCCGCCCCCUUGGAGAUGGGCAGCGGGGUCAUCAGUGAUCUUGAUCACUUUCUUCAGGCUUUUGCCACUUGUUGGCUGAGGGUCGAUUUACUCCCUUAGCUGCGUCACUCUACUUUCUCCACUUUCUCCACCUGUAAGAAGAGAGAUUGAUCCGAUUACUUCUAAGACGUUUUUUAGCCCAACCUGGCCACACUGCG